AGUGGCGCACGGGUGAGUAACGCGUAUGCAACCUACCUUUCACAGUGGGAUAGCCCAGAGAAAUUUGGAUUAAUACCGCAUAGUAUACGGGACCAGCAUUGGACCUGUAUUAAACAUUUAUGGGUGAGAGAUGGGCAUGCGUUCUAUUAGUUAGUUGGUAAGGUAACGGCUUACCAAGACAGCGAUAGAUAGGGGCCCUGAGAGGGGGAUCCCCCACACUGGUACUGAGACACGGACCAGACUCCUACGGGAGGCAGCAGUGAGGAAUAUUGGACAAUGGGCGCAAGCCUGAUCCAGCCAUGCCGCGUGCAGGAAGACGGCCCUAUGGGUUGUAAACUGCUUUUAUACAGGAAGAAACAACUCUACGUGUAGAGUCUUGACGGUACUGUAAGAAUAAGGAUCGGCUAA
RNAcentral lists this ribosomal RNA (408 nucleotides) under uncultured bacterium. Its description in RNAcentral is "bacterial SSU rRNA". It matches the Rfam family "Bacterial small subunit ribosomal RNA", at positions 94 to 500 of the family's 1533-position model. The record is from RNAcentral.